CUCCUAUUAGAGAGUACGCAAAAAAACAAUUUGGUUUUACCCGAAAUUGCUUUUUUGCAAGCUCAUUAUCAUCUA
Molecule: non-coding RNA, 75 nt
Organism: Bombyx mori (domestic silkworm)
Lineage: Eukaryota; Metazoa; Arthropoda; Insecta; Lepidoptera; Bombycidae
Source: RefSeq, marked provisional